AACAAGGUUUCCGUAGGUGAACCUGCGGAAGGAUCAUUAACUAUUUUGUUAAAACCAUGUUUUUUUGGCUGGAUUAAAAACCUAGUCAAUUUUUUACAUGUCUUCUUUCGGGGAAGAGAAAAAUAAAUCUACUGUGAAACAAUAUUUGGGGUUUGGCCAUAAAAAAAAAGUUACUUGGGCGAGCUUUCGAGUUCCCCUGGGUUAACGACAUAUUAUACUAUUGAUUUUUUAGUUUUAAAAUUGAAAACAAUCAGCCUAAAAAACUGAUUAAAACAACUUUUAACAACGGAUCUCUAGGCUCUCGCAUCGAUGAAGAACGUAGCAAAUUGCGAUAACUAUUGUGAAUUGCAUCUCGUGAAUCAUCAAGUUUUUGAACGCAUCUUGCACUCUUUGGUAUUCCAAAGAGUACACUUGUUUCAGUAUCAUAUUAACCCCCAACGCCGUAUGAUUUUAUUAUCAUUCUGGGCGGAAUUAUGUAUCCUUGGCCGAAGAAAGGUAUUAAGUUACCUGAGCGGCUUAAAUCUAUACUAGGCGAAAUGACCCGUUGGUUCAUUUUUCUGUUUGUAAAAUAAAUAUUAAUGUGUUUCUUAUUUUACGUUUAAGCAGAAUUGAAUCGUUAAGGGGCAUUUCUGGCCAACAAACACAUUAUUUUGAUCUGAAAUCAAGUGGGAUUACCCGCUGAA
Molecule: ribosomal RNA, 683 nt
Filed under: Pilobolus heterosporus
Lineage: Eukaryota; Fungi; Mucoromycota; Mucoromycetes; Mucorales; Pilobolaceae
Description: eukaryotic LSU rRNA
Rfam family: 5.8S ribosomal RNA (bases 275-425)
Source: RNAcentral